This 88-nucleotide transfer RNA is filed under the name Candidatus Moranbacteria bacterium CG_4_10_14_3_um_filter_41_65. RNAcentral describes it as "tRNA-Ser". It matches the Rfam family "tRNA". Rfam says of the family: Transfer RNA (tRNA) molecules are approximately 80 nucleotides in length. Lineage: Bacteria; Candidatus Moraniibacteriota. The record is from RNAcentral. RNAcentral also lists the same sequence under 3 other names.
GGAGAUGUCGCAUAGUGGUCUAGUGCACUCGCUUGGAAAGCGAGCAGGGUGAAAGCCCUCGAGAGUUCGAAUCCCUCCAUCUCCGCCA